GCUGGGAUAGCUCAGUUGGUAGAGCAUGAGACUCUUAAUCUCAGGGUUGUGGGUUGGAGCCCCACAUUCGGCA
This is a non-coding RNA of Podarcis lilfordi (Lilford's wall lizard), 73 nucleotides long. Lineage: Eukaryota; Metazoa; Chordata; Lepidosauria; Squamata; Lacertidae. The record is from the annotation of a GenBank genome assembly.